GAUGAACGCUAGCGGCAGGCCUAAUACAUGCAAGUCGAACGGAUAUAUGUUUUUCGGAAUAUAUAUUAGUGGCGCACGGGUGAGUAACACGUACAUAACUUGCCCUCAAGCGGGGGAUAGCCUUGGGAAACUGAGAGUAAUACCCCAUAGAAUUAUUGGACGGCAUCGUUUGAUAAUUAAAACUACGGUGCUUGGGGAUAGAUGUGCGUCUGAUUAGCUAGUUGGUGAGGUAACUGCUCACCAAGGCGACGAUCAGUAGGGGGCGUGAGAGCGUGGCCCCCCACACGGGUACUGAGACACGGACCCGACUCCUACGGGAGGCAGCAGUAAGGAAUAUUGGACAAUGGACGGAAGUCUGAUCCAGCCAUGCCGCGUGAAGGAAGAAGGCGCUCAGCGUUGUAAACUUCUUUUGGAUGGGAAUAAUAAUGUCGACGUGCUCGGCACUUGAAGGUACCAUCAGAAUAAGCACCGGCUAACUCCGUGCCAGCAGCCG
This 493-nucleotide ribosomal RNA is filed under the name uncultured bacterium. RNAcentral describes it as "bacterial SSU rRNA". It matches the Rfam family "Bacterial small subunit ribosomal RNA", at positions 28 to 517 of the family's 1533-position model. The record is from RNAcentral.